UACACACACACACAUACAAAGACAAAAAUAUAUUGAUGCAUACUUAUACACACAAGCACUUAUGUGUACACACAAACACCCUACCAUCACACACAUCCCCACCCUUCUCACUCCUCCCCCCACCAAACAUACCUAAUUCUGUAAUGUUACAACCUUGUGUCAUUGUCCUAGUGUGUGUGUGUGUUUCUUUUUGUUGCUUUUGUUGGGGAUUUUUUUUUUUCAGUUGUUUAAUAUUUCCCAAAUCUUGUUUCUUUCAUUGAUCAUCAAUAAAUACUGUUGGAAGGGGAAUUUUUGUUUUAUAUUUUUUGCUUGUUUUUAUUUCUCUUCCUCCACCCUCACCUUUUUCCAGUUUUUAUUUUAGUUAUCCAUUUACUUAUUUCUCAACUGUUCAUAGGUAUUUUCCUCUUAAUCAGUGGUUCAAUUCAUUUGGUUUAUUUGUUUCAUGUCAUCAAUUAUUGUUAGCAUAGGAUAUGUGUAGUGGUAUGGUUAGAAGUUUGCUUUCCCAAGCACAUGGUCCAGUUCUACUGCUUGACACCUUGGACAAAUCUCUUCUGCUAUAACCUCAGGCUGACCAAAGCCUUGUCAGUAUAUUUAGUUGACAGAAACUGAAAGAAACUUGUGUAUAUAUAUAUAUAUAUAUAUAUAUAUAUAUACCGUAAAUCCUUGAGUAUAAAUCCGCAUUUUUUUCCCAAAAUUUAACGGUCAAAAUCCUUAGUGCAUACUAUAUACGAGGUUAAAAAUGAAAACUAUUUUCUCAGCAAUGUCCAAGUCUCCAUUUGCUGUCUGGCAAUGUUUAUUCAGUUGCAUUUUGUGAUGUCGGGUGCGAAAAUACCUUAAGCUAAGCCUGAAAGCAAUGAAGUCAUAAAAGAAUCAUCCAUAACUUGCAUUAAGCAACAUUUAUUAAAAUAAAAGUAUUCAGAACACAGAAUAACAUGUAACAAACACAAUUUGCAAACAUAUUUACAUUCCCAAAUUACAGUUAAGAACAUCACCAUUAUUGUAUUACGCAUGCACGGAAGUGUUUGUUCGACUAGGUGCUACAGGUGAGGGUUGGUGACAGAAAGGGUAUCUAGCCAUAAGAAAUCUGCCUCAUCAAAUUCCGUUUGACUCAUGCCAAGCAUAGAAAAGAGGACAUUAAAAUGAGUCUAGCAGAAAUUGCACCAAUAAUGAUUACUUUCCAACUUAAAAAUAAAUUCUUCACCAGAAACCCCAAAUGUACCCCUAGAAUUCUAACAUUUCUCUCAGGUUAGGAAUUGUUGACCUAAACAUAUAUCAACAUGGUUGUAGUAAGACUUGAACCCACAACCUGUUAAUUAACAAUCUAUAUGUGUUAUAUAGAGACUUCUGGUAUCAGUAUAAGACUAGAAAUUUGUGAGUGCUAUAAUUAAUUGUAUUAACCUCAUUAUACAGCUGAUAUUUAUUUUGCUAACCCAGAAGGCAAAGUCAACUUUAUAAAAGGAUACCAGGUAUUUAGUCUAGCACUCUACUGUUUGUGCCAAUCCACAAGCCUCUGUGAUUGUAGAAUAGAAAACAAUGUUUCCAGUAACCUGAAGGUAUAAAAAGCUGGAAGGCGGCGAGCUGGCAGAAACGUUAGCACGCCGGGCAAAAUGCUUAGCGGUAUUUUGUCUGCCACUACGUUCUGAGUUCAAAUUCCGCAGAGGUCGACUUUGCCUUUCAUCCUUUCGGGGUCGAUUAAAUAAGUACCAGUUAUGCACUGGAGUCAAUGUAAUCGACUUAAUCCGUUUGUCUGUCCUUGUUUGUCCCCUCUGUGUGUAGCUCCUUGUGGUCAGUAAAGAAAUAGGUAUAAAAAGCUGGUGUUUUUAAGACCCAAUAUAAAAAGACAGGGUGGAUGUAAAUGCUAGAUGUCAUUCCAUCAAUCAUACUAUACACUUAGACAAGCAAUCUGUCAACAGACAAGUCUGUAGUUUUCUUUAAAUGAUGCUACUGGUCUUACAUCCCCAGCUAGAAGUAGCAACUAGAUCUCCCUCAAUCACAGUGUACUGGCUUAAAUAAAGAACGAUACAAUGAACAGAAUAUCAAAAUAUCAUUAUCCAACAGAUGGUUUCCCUAAUGUUCUGGUGAAGGUGAGGAAAGUACCCAUUUAUAGUUGGUCCCAGUCCCCAUCCACCCUGUCAUAAGUUGAACACCUCUGAUGAUAGCUUUGUUCAAUCAGAACUGACUUUGGGUGGAGUAAACAACAUGUAGGACCCAUCAACUGAGGACUUAAAACAUUCUAAAUGCCAUAAAUUAAUGAUAGAUCCAUUGGAAAGCUAAAACAAACUAGAAUGUUGUUCACAAAAAUACAUUAUAUAAACUAUAAAAACUCCAAAUGAUUUAAUCUGGUAUUUUACCUCUACUACUACUACUACUACUAUUAUCACCACCACCACCACCUCAAUCUCCCAGGGCCAUUUUAGCAGCAUUAAAAACUCCUUGGCAAAUCAGUGCACUGGGCCCUAUAAUAUGUAUUUAUUGAAAGCUACAACAUAUAUAGAUUAAAAUUCCCCCUAGACCUGUGAGGCUACUAGGCAACUACUCAGUAUACUCAUGCCUGGAGAUAGCACUACCGCCACUACCCCAUCUGCUACUACUUUUGGCAAUAAAUAUUUUUUAGUCUGAAAUAUUAAAAGGUUUCUUGUUGACUGUCAACAACAAUUAUUUUUUUUUGCUCUGAAGAAAUUUAAUUUAUUAAUUAAUUAAAUAAAAUCAAAGAUAAAUCAAAGUAAAUUCAGUAUCACAAAGGAUGUUGUUCAUCUUAAUUCUUUUGAAACCAACCCACCCAAGGCUAUCACCUCUGGCUUCAUAGUACAAUGCACUAAUCUUUAAAGGUUUCAUAUGAGAAUUAAAAAAGUUUUCUGUUAUAAUUUUAUGUAAGAAUUUUAAUUUUAGUUUCAUUACAAAUACCAACUUAAUAAUUGUUUCUGAUAAAGAUACAGGACCAGAAAGUUAUGGGAGAGAGGGCUAGAUGAUCACCCUCCCUCCCACCCAGUAUUUUGACUGGUACUUUAUUUUAUUGACUGUGGGAGGAUGAAAGGCAUAAAUGACAUUCGCAACAUUUGAACUCAGAACAUAAAAUGCCACAACUAAAUGCUGCAAAUCAUUUUGUCCAAUACCCAAACAAUUCUGCCAACCUAUCACCCUGAUGUAAAAGUAAAUGAUAUUUAGUCUGAUGAUCUACUGACAUGAUGGCAAUGUUUAAUAGUUCAUUAAGCAUUUAAUUAUUUUGAAAAUUAAAUUAAGCCAUGGAUAGUUUAUGUUGUGAGAAAUAUGGCCACAAAAGGUUUAAUCAAAAUAUGACAUUGUAAUUUCUUUCCUGUCAUAUUGUUGCUUUGUCCCAGGUGAGGUUUGAUCAAGCAGACCUAUGAACUAUCAAAGACAUUCCAGUUGUGACCAUCUCAUCUUGUUUAUAUAUCCAAGACUACACUGUCCAAUGUAUUAUUACCUUUCAUUCUUCUGGAGGUCUAACUUCAUUUAUAAUAUUUUUUAAGAUGGUAAGGUAUGGUCUGAAAGAUAUAUGGCUCCCUAGAUUGGUAGUUAGCUCCAAGUUAGCCCAGAUUGAACAGACCAUGAUAAAAGACAUUCCAGUCCUUGUUUAUUUAUGUUUGUUGGCUAACAUAAAAUAUCUGGGAUUACAUUAUCCAGUGAGUGAGAGCUUCUAUGUGGUGACUCAAUCUGCUUGACAUAACAGCUAAAUAUCUCUCACCUCUCAUCCUGCCAUGAUUUUCUUGUAGAUGUUAAUACAUAGAUGUUUAAACUUAUUGAUGUCCCCAGUUCAGGAGGACCAACAUUUAAAGAUGCAACCCUUUCUCUCUAGACUCACCACUAGAAAAAUUACUUUCUAAGACAUUAAAAGACAUUCGAUUUUAGUUGCCUUUCUUUUAUAUUUUUGUUUAACUGUAGAAGAAAAUGGAAUGUUCUUAGCUUUUGAAGAACUUUAUAGACUGAAAUAAAACUGAGUGUGAUUGUUGUAACGAUGUGAAAAUUGAACUUUUGGUUUGGGCAAGGUGAGAGAGAGUUCCAGAGAAGUUCAAGAUGGAAGAAAGUGGGAUUAAGUAAAAAUGUUGGCAUGAAAGAUAGUCAAGAAGAUGUCAGACACAGUGAUAUAAAUUUAUUCUUUGGUGGCAUUGCGCUAAUUAUUAUUAUGAUUAUUAUUAAUAUUAUUAUCAUUAAUGAUUGACAAAUGAUCAAAAUAAAAUAUUUUAAAAUUUUUUCCAAGAAUUAUAAUGCAAUGUCCCAGAAUGACCAUAGCUGUGAUGACUUAACUGACAAAAUGAACAAAGAUUACAUAAUAAUUUUGCUAUUUACUUACUGCAAAAUUUUUUUUUUUUCUUUUUGAUCUUUUUAUUUUUCAUUCCUGACAAUUUGGGAUAUCCUUUGAAAAAUAAAAGAUUAAAAUCAUGGCAAAAAUAUUUCCAAACUAUUUAUUUUUAAUUUUUUGCAAUUCUGAAGAAGAAAAUUAUUUUGCAUGGAUUGUGGUUAUAUUGCAACAGGCAAAGACAAAAUAAAAAAAAAACUGUCCAAGAAAAAAAAUCUGUCCUCAUUAGCUUCAAAACAUACUGAAAAAUUAUUUUUAAAAUCAACUGCUUUUUCAUUAUCAGUUUUUUCUAAAUAAAUUAAAAUAUUAAUCUUACAAUGCUUUUGUUUUAAAUAUUUAUUUUUAAAAUGUUCUCAUGUCUUCAACGUUUUGUUUCUUACUUUCACUAAAUAAAUGGUAAAUCAAGGACUUUUAGCUGCCAUAAGUCACAAUCAAAACCUUGUUCCAUCUAUGACACCACCACACUCACGUUCACUCAUAUCUCAACACUGAUGAAAUGUUGGUAUUUAGAAAAUGUGCUGAAAAUUAUGAACGAAAUUUGAGCUUCAUGCAUGUGUUUUUUGUUUUAUUUUUCCAGUUUCACUGGUUUCCUCAUAUUGUAGGAGAGAGAGAGAGGAGAAAUGUUAUUAACAUACUGAUAUUUGAACUCUAAAAAAAAAAAGAACAAUUUUAACUCCAGUAUGAACGUGUGAGUGCGCAUACGCGUACAUGUGCGUGCGCAUGCGCGAACGUGUGAGUGCGCAUGCGCAAACGUAUGCUUACGUAUGCGCGAACGUUUGCUUGGGCAUGCGCGAAAGUGUGCGUGCAAACGCGCGAACGUAUUACUACGCAUGUGCUAACGCGUGACUGCGCAUUCGCGAAAGUGUGACAGUGCAUGCGCGAAUGUGUGAAUUUCGGGCAAAAUUUUCCAAAAAUUUUAGUGAAAAGUUUUCGGUCAAAAUUUUCCAAAUAUUUUUCUGCAAUAUUUUCGGUGAAAAUUUACCAAAAAUUUUUGAGGAAAAUUUUUGAAAAUUUUCGAAAAAUUUUCGGAUAAUUUUCGUCAAAAUUUUCCAAAAUUUUUCUGCAAUUUUUCAAAAAAAAAUUUUUGGAGAAAACUUUCGGUGAAACUUUUCGAAAAAUUUUCCGGACAAAAUUUUGGGGAUAAUUUUCAAUGAAAAUUUUCGAAAACUUUUUGUGAAAAAUAUUCGGUCAAAAUUUUCCAAAUAUUUUCCUGCAAUAUUUUCGGUCAAAAUUUUACAAAAAUUUUUGGGGAAAAUUUUUCAAAAAAAUUUUCGGUGAGCGUGUGCGUGCGCAUGCGCGAAAAUGUGACUGCGCACGCGCGAAUGUGUCACUGCGCAUGCGCGAAAGUGUGACUGCGCAUGCGCGAAAAUGUGACUGCGCAUGCGCGAGAGUGUGACUGCGCAUGCGCGAAUUUGUGACUGCGCAUGCGCAAACGUGUGAUUGCGCGUGCGCGAUGUUGUGACUGCGCAUGCGCGAAUGUUUGACUGCGCAUGCGUAAAAAUGUGACUGCGCAUGCGCGAAAGUGUGACUGCGCAUGCGCGAAAGUGUGACUGCGCAUGCACGAAAAUGUGACUGCGCACGCGCGAAAAUGUGACAGCGCAUGCGCGAGAGUGUGACUGCGCAUGCGCGAAUAUGUGACCAUGCGCGAAUGUGUCACUGCGCAUGCGCGAGAUUGUGACUGCGCAUGCGCGAAUGUGUGACUACGCAUGCGCGAAGGUGUGACUACGCAUGCGCGAAAGGUCUGACUGCGCAUGCGCGAAAGUUUGAUUGCGCCUGCGCAUGCGCGAAAGUGUGAAAAUUGUCGAAAAAAUUUUCGUGGAAAUUUUUGGGGAAAAUUUUCAAUGAAAAUUUUCGAAAAAUUUCGGGCAAAAUUUUCCAAAAAUUUUAGUGAAAAGUUUUCGGUCAAAAUUUUCCAAAUAUUUUUCUGCAAUAUUUUCGGUGAAAAUUUACCAAAAAUUUUUGAGGAAAAUUUUUGGGGAUAAUUUUCAAUGAAAAUUUUCGAAAAAUUUUCGCUCAAAAUUUUCCAAAUAUUUUUCUGCAAUAUUUUGGUGAAAAUUUUCAACAAAUUUUUCGAGAAAACUUUCGGUGAAAAUUUUCGAAAAAUUUUCCGGACAAAAUUUUGGGGAUAAUUUUCAAUGAAAAUUUUCGAAAAAUUUUUGUGAAAAAUUUUCGAAAAAUUUUUGUGAAAAAUAUUCGUUCAAAAUUUUCCAAAUAUUUUCCUGCAAUAUUUUCGGUGAAAAUUUUACAAAAAUUUUGGGGAAAAUUUUUCAAAAAAAAUUUUCGGUGAGCGUGUGCACGCGUAUGCGCGAAAAUGUGACUACGCACGCGCGAAUGUGUCACUGCGCAUGCGCGAAAUUGUGACUGCGCAUGCGCAAAAGUGUGACUGCGCAUGCGGCAAGGUCUGACUGCGCAUGCGCGAGAGGGUGACUGCGCAUGCGCGAGAGGGUGACUGCGCAUGCGCGAGAGGGUGACUGCGCAUGCGCGAAUUUGUGACUGCGCAUGCGCAAACGUGUGAUUGCGCAUGCGCGAAUUUGUAACUGCGCAUGCGCGAAGGUCUGACUGCGCAUGCGCGAAGGUCUGACUGCGCAUGCGCGAAUGUUUGACUGCGCAUGCGCGACCGUGUGACUGCGCAUGCGCGAAAGUGUGAAAAUUUUUGGGUGAAAAUUUUCGAAAAAUUUCCGGGGAAAAUUUUUGGGGAAAAUUUUCAAUGAAAAUUUUCGAAAAAUUUUCGGGCAAAAUUUUCCAAAAAUUUUAGUGAAAAGUUUUCGGUCAAAAUUUUCCAAAUAUUUUUCUGCAAUAUUUUCGGUGAAAAUUUUCAAAAAAUUUUUGGAGAAAACUUUCGGUGAAAAUUUUCGAAAAAUUUUCCAGACAAAAUUUUGGGGAUAAUUUUCAAUGAAAAUUUUCGAAAAAUUUUUGUGAAAAAUAUUCGUUCAAAAUUUUCCAAAUAUUUUCCUGCAAUAUUUUCGGUGAAAAUUUUACAAAAAAAAUUUUUCAAAAAAAUUUUCGGUGAGCGUGUGAGUGCGCAUGCGCGAAAAUGUGACUGCGCACGCGCGAAUGUGUCACUGCGCAUGCGCAAAAGUGCGCGAAUGUCUGCGUGGGCUGCGCAUGCGCGAAUGUCUGCGUGGGCAUGCGCCAAGGUCUGACUGCGCAUGCGCGAAAUUGUGACUGCGCAUGCGCAAAAGUGUGACUGCGCAUGCGCGAAUGUUUGACUGCGCAUGCGUGAAAAUGUGACUGCGCAUGCGCGAAGAUCUGACUGACUGCGCAUGCGCGAGUGUGACUGCGCAUGCGCGAAUGUGUGACUGCGCAGCAUGCGCAAACGUGUGACUGCGCAUGCGCGAUGGUGUGACUGCGCAUGCGCGAGAGUGUGACUGCGCAUGCGCGAAGGUCUGACUGCGCAUGCGCGAAGGUCUGACUGCGCAUGCGCGAAUGUCUGCGUGCGCAUGCGCCGAGGUCUGACUGCGCAUGCGCGAUAUUGUGACUGCGCAUGCGCAAAAUUGUGACUGCGCAUGCGCGAAUGUUUGACUGCGCAUGCGUAAAAAUGUGACUGCGCAUGCGCGAAGGUCUGACUGCGCAUGCGCGAGAGUGUGACUGCGCAUGCGCGAAUGUGUGACUGCGCAUGCGCAAACGUGUGACUGCGCAUGCGCGAUGGUGUGACUGCGCAUGCGCCAUGGUGUGACUGCGCAUGCGCGAGAGUGUGACUGCGCAUGCGCGAAGGUCUGACUGCGCAUGCGCGAAGGUCUGACUGCGCAUGCGCGAAUGUUCUGACUGCGCAUGCGCGAAGGUCUGACUGCGCAUGCGCGAAUGUGACUGCGCAUGCGCGAACGUGUGACUGCGCACGCGCGAAAGUGUGAAAAUUAUUUGGGGAAAAUUUUCAAUGGAAAUUUUCGAAAAAUUUCGGGCAAAAUUUUCCAAAAAUUUUAGUGAAAAGUUUUCGGUCAAAAUUUUACAAAUAUUUUUCUGCAAUAUUUUCGGUGAAAAUUUACCGAAAAUUUUUGGUGAUAAUUUUGAUAAUUUUCGGUGAGCGUGUGCGUGCGCAUGCGCGAAAAUGUGACUGCGCACGCGCGAAUGUGUAACAGCGCAUGCGCGAAAGUGUGACUGCGCAUGCGCGAAUGUCUGCGUGCGCAUGCGCCAAGGUCUGACUGCGCAUGCGCGAAAUUGUGACUGCGCAUGCGCAAAAGUGUGACUGCGCAUGCGCGAAUGUUUGACUGCGCAUGCGUGAAAAUGUGACUGCGCAUGCGCGAAGAUCUGACUGCGCAUGCGCGAGUGUGACUGCGCAUGCGCGAAUGUGUGACUGCGCAUGCGCAAACGUGUGACUGCGCGUGCGCGAUGGUGUGACUGCGCAUGCGCGAGAGUGUGACUGCGCAUGCGCGAUGGUCUGACUGCGCAUGCGCGAAUGUCUGGCUGCGCAUGCGCGAAUGUUUGACUGCGCAUGCGCGAAUGUCUGCGUGCGCAUGCGCGAAGGUCUGACUGCGCAUGCGCGAAAUUGUGACUGCGCAUGCGCGAAUGUUUGAUUGCGCAUGCGUAAAAAUGUGACUGCGCAUGCGCGAAGGUCUGACUGCGCAUGCGCGAGAGUGUGACUGCGCAUGCGCGAAUGUGUGACUGCGCUGCGCAACGUGUGACUGCGCAUGCGCGAUGGUGUGACUGCGCAUGCGCGAGAGGGUGACUGCGCAUGCGCGAGUGACUGCGCAUGCGCGAAUGCGCAUGCGCAUGACUGCUGCGCAUGCGCGAUGGUUGACUGCGCAUGCGCGGAGUGUGACUGCGCAUGCGCGAGGUUGACUGCGCAUGCGCGAGGUUGACUGCGCAUGCGCGAUGGUGUGACUGCGCAUGCGCGAGAGUUUGACUGCGCAUGCGCGAAGGUCUGAUGCAUGCGCAUGCGCGAUGGUCUGACUGCGCAUGCGCGAAGGUCUGACUGCGCAUGCGCGAAUGUGACUGCGCACGCGCGAAAGUGUGAAAAUUUUUGGGGAAAAUUUUCAAUGGAAAUUUUCGAAAAAUUUCGGGCAAAAUUUUCCAAAAAUUUUAGUGAAAAGUUUUCGGUCAAAAUUUUACAAAUAUUUUUCUGCAAUAUUUUCGGUGAAAAUUUACCGAAAAUUUUUGAGGAAAAUUUUUGGUGAUAAUUUUGAAAAUUUUCGGUGAGCGUGUGCGUGCGCAUGCGCGAAAAUGUGACUGCGCACGCGCGAAUGUGUCACAGAGCAUGCGCGAAAGUGUGACUGCGCAUGCGCGAAUGUCUGCGUGCGCAUGCGCCAAGGUCUGACUGCGCAUGCGCGAAAUUGUGACUGCGCAUGCGCAAAAGUGUGACUGCGCAUGCGCGAAUGUUUGAUUGCGCAUGCGCGAAUGUGUGACUACGCAUGCGCGAAAGAGUGAUUGCGCAUGCGCGAACAUGUGACUGCGCAUGCGCGAACCUGUGACUGCGCAUGUGCGAAUGUUUGACUGCGCAUGCGCGAACAUGUGACUGCGCAUGCGCGAAAGUGACUGCGAAAGUGUGAAAAUUUUCGAAAAAUUUUUGUGAAAAAUUUUCGAUGAAAAUUUUCGAAAUAUUUUUGGGGAAAAUUUUUGGUGAAUAUUUUCGGUGAACGUGUGCGUGCGCAUGCGCGAACGUGUUACUGCGCACGCGCGAACGUGUGACUGCGCAUGCGCGAACGUGUGACUGCGCAUGCGCGAAAAUGCGACUGCACAUGCACGAAUGUGUGACUGCGCAUGAGCGAAGGUCUGACUGCUCUUGCCUAAAAUUGUGACUGCGCAUGCGCGAAAGUGUGACUGCGCAUGCGUGAUAGUGUGACUGCGCAUGCUCGAAUGUGUGACUGCAACUAGAUCUCCCUCAAUCACAGUGUACUGGCUUAAAUAAAGAACGAUACAAUGAACAGAAUAUCAAAAUAUCAUUAUCCAACAGAUGGUUUCCCUAAUGUUCUGGUGAAGGUGAGGAAAGUACCCAUUUAUAGUUGGUCCCAGUCCCCAUCCACCCUGUCAUAAGUUGAACACUUCUGAUGAUAGCUUUGUUCAAUCAGAACUGACUUUGGGUGGAGUAAACAACAUGUAGGACCCAUCAACUUUGGACUAAAACAUUCUAAAUGCCAUAAAUUAAUGAUAGAUCCAUGGGAAACCUAAAACAAACUAGAAUGUUGUUCAUAAAAAUACAUAUAAAAUAUAAAAACUCCAAAUGAUUUAAUCUGGCAUUUUACCACCACCACCACCUCCUCGCCCUCCUCCUCCUCAAUCUCUCAGGGCCAUUUUAGCAGCAUUAAAAACUCCUAGGCAAAUCAGUGCACUGGGCCUUAUAUGUAUUUAUUGACAGAAAGCCACAACAUAUAUAGAUUAAAAUUCCCCCUAGACCCGUGAGGCCACUAACUACCCAGUAUACUCAUGCCUGGAGAUAGCACUACCACCACUACCCUAUCUGCUAUUACUUUUAGCAAUAAAUAUUUUUUAGUCUGAAAUAUUAAAAGGUUUCUCAUUGACUGUCAACAACAAUUAUUUUUUUUGUUCUGAAGAAAUUUAAUUUAUUAAUUAAUUAAAUAAUAUCAAAGAUAAGUCAAAGUAAAUUCAGUAUAACAAAGGAUGUUGUUCAUCUUAAUUCUUUUGAAACCAACCCACCUAAGGCUAUCACCUCUGGCUUCAUAGUACAAUACACUAAUCUUCAAAGGAUUCAUAUAAGAAUUAAAAAAGUUUUCUGUUAUAAUUUUAUGUAAGAAUUUUAAUUUUAGUUUCAUUACAAAUACCAACUUAAUAAUUGUUUCUGAUAAAGACACAGGACCUGAAAUUUAUGGGAGAGAGGGCUAGAUGAUCAUCCUCCCUCCCACCCAGUAUUUUGACUGGUACUUUAUUUUAUUUACCGUGGGAGGACAAUAGCCAUAAAUGACAUUCACAACAUUUGAACUCAGAACAUAAAAUGCCAUAACUAAAUACUGCAAAGUAUUCUGUCCAAUGCCCAAACAAUUCUGCCAACCAAUCACCCUGAUAUAAAAGUAAAUGAUAUUUAGUCUGAUGAUCUACUGACAUGAUGGCAAUGUUUAAUAGUUCAUUAAGCAUUUAAUUAUUUUGAAAAUUAAAUUAAGCCAUGGAUGGUAUAUGUUGUGAGAAGUAUGGCCACAAAAGGUUUAAACAAAAUAUGACAUUGUAAUUUCUUUCCUGUCAUAUUGUUGCUUUGUCCCAGGUGAGGUUUGAUCAAGCAGACCUAUGAACUAUCAAAGACAUUCCAGUUGUGACCAUCUCAUCUUGUUUAUAUAUCCAAGACUACACUGUCCAAUGAAGGGUCCUUCAUUUAUUAUAUUUUUUAAGAUGGUAAGGUGUGGUCUGAAAGAUAUAUGGCUCCCUAGAUUGGUAGUUAGCUCCAAGUUAGCCCAGAUUGAACAGACCAUGAUAAAAGACAUUCCAGUCCUUGUUUAUUUAUGUUUGUUGGCUAACAUAAAAUAUCUGGGAUUACAUUAUCCAGUGAGUGAGAGCAUCUAUGUGGUGACUCAAUCUGCUUGACAUAACAGCUAAAUAUCUCUCACCUCUCAUCCUGCCAUGAUUUUCUUGUAGAUGUUAAUACAUAGAUGUUUAAACUGGGGAUUAACCUUAUUGAUGUCCCCAGUUCAGGAGGACUGACAUUUAAAGAUGCAACCCUUUCUCUCUAGACUCA
This 11930-nucleotide long non-coding RNA is filed under the name Octopus vulgaris (common octopus). The record is from RNAcentral. Lineage: Eukaryota; Metazoa; Mollusca; Cephalopoda; Octopoda; Octopodidae.